UCUGUUUUCUGGCAGGUUCCAUAAGGCAGGGGCUCAGUGGGUCAGACUCCCAGGGUGCUGUCGUGUUCAUUAGGUACUGAGGAUGGUUUUGUGGGAGAAAUCCCUGCAGAGCUUCAGAGGGAGGGAAUCAAGGACAGUCUUGUAGCGAUCACACAUGAUACUGGGACUUACAGAUGUUUAGGGUGGGGACGUGGGGCGUCCCUGGCCUGGACAUAGGAACCUGUGGGGAGCCAGCCAAUAAUUAAAUCAUAAGACUUCUGGGAGAAAGAAACUCUUGUGUGCUUUCCUGUUACCAGCUCGGAACAUAUGGCGGUUAGAGCUCCUUGCCAAAAUAAGCAUAUCUGUGUGAAAACACCCUGCUUUGAUCUAACUGCAGCUGCAUACGCCUCCCUUUUGUUCCUGUGCAGCUGCAUGCCCCUCCCUUUUCCUGUUUCUUACCCGAUAAAACCCCACGUAUCUCAAGAAUAAACGAGACUUGAUCAGAACACUGUCUUGUCUCCUUUUCUCGUGUCUCUUGUCCCAUCCACUCCCACUCCCCUCCUCAGGUCCACGUUGACUUACCCGCGGGUCGGGACAAGUGGCGCCCAACGUGGGGCCCGAGUAUGGGGGACGCCGUGAGGAACGCUGUGCAGCGUGUCGGCCGACGAAGCAUAUAGAGGCAGGAGGACAUCCACCCGGUGCUCGCCUGAACCUCGAGUGAUGACAGACUGUGAACCCUGGCUCUUAACCACAGCCUUAGUCAUUGCCUUCAUCUCAGGCAUCGGGCUUGCCGCCUCCACCCCUCCCCAGUGGACCCUUGUACAGCAGACUAUUCUUGUUACCACUUACUGGAUCCUUGUUGGCAUCUUUGCACUUCUUAACUGCACCUUAUAAAGGGAUGAAGCCCAUCAACUCUCGCGUUUUCACCUUCUUCGCACUAUUUCAGGUACUCUACAAGAUCUUCAAGACCAAAUCGAUUCACUAGCAGAAGUAGUCCUACAAAACAGGCGUGGCCUAGAUCUAGUUACCGCUGAACAAGGCGGAAUCUGCUUAGCCCUAAAAGAAAAGUGUUGUUUUUAUGCUAAUAAAUCCGGAAUAGUUCGAGACAAAAUUAAGAAGCUACAAGAAGACCUUAUAAAAAGGAAAAAAGAAUUGUUUGAGAACCCCCUGUGGACUGGGUUAAAUGGGCUCCUCCCCUACCUUCUCCCCAUACUAGGACCCUUGUCAGCUUGCUUCUCCUCCUAUCUCUUGGCCCUUUUUUGUUCCAGAAGCUUAUGUCCUUUGUAAAAAAUAAGUAAACGCAAUCCUGGCUCACCCCAUUCAAGUCCAUUAUCACCGCCUAGAACAAGAAGAAAAUGCGUGUAUGUUCUCCACAUGAGCUUGUGCCAUACAAUAUGGUGCCACCUUCCUGCGCAUUACUACACAACCUAAGACAGGCGCAAGACCUAACUGUCUUGGCAGCCAAUGACGGGUAAGAUGUAGUAGAUGCCAGUAUAUUGCUCUGCAAGUGAUCUCACGACUGGUUAGCCAAAGAUGGGUAAGAUUCCUAGAGGAAGGAACAACCUAAGACAGGCACAGUCGCAUGGAGGUCCCAUCACGCAGUCUCUUCUCCUUUUUAAUUUUAAAUAAAGAAGGGGGACCUAUGGGGAGCUGGCCAAUAAUUAAAUCAUAAGACUUCUGGGAGAAAGAAACUCUUGUGUGCUUUCCUGUUACCAGCUCGGAACAUAUGGCAGUUAGAGCUCCUUGCCAAAAUAAGCAUAUCUGUGUGAAAACACCCUGCUUUGAUCUAACUGCAGCUGCAUACGCCUCCCUUUUGUUCCUGUGCAGCUGCAUGCCCCUCCCUUUUCCUGUUUCUUACCCGAUAAAACCCCACGUAUCUCAAGAAUAAAUGAGACUU
Manis pentadactyla (Chinese pangolin) is the source of this 1876-nucleotide long non-coding RNA. RefSeq lists it as uncharacterized. The transcript is spliced from 3 exons. NCBI's taxonomy places the organism in Eukaryota, Metazoa, Chordata, Mammalia, Pholidota, Manidae. The record is from RefSeq and is a predicted model, not a curated record.